AUUGAACGCUGGCGGCAGGCCUAACACAUGCAAGUCGAACGGUAACAGGAAGAAGCUUGCUUCUUUGCUGACGAGUGGCGGACGGGUGAGUAAUGUCUGGGAAACUGCCUGAUGGAGGGGGAUAACUACUGGAAACGGUAGCUAAUACCGCAUAACGUCGCAAGACCAAAAAGGGGGACCUUCGGGCCUCUUGCCAUCGGAUGUGCCCAGAUGGGAUUAGCUAGUAGGUGGGGUAACGGCUCACCUAGGCGACGAUCCCUAGCUGGUCUGAGAGGAUGACCAGCCACACUGGAACUGAGACACGGUCCAGACUCCUACGGGAGGCAGCAGUGGGGAAUAUUGCACAAUGGGCGCAAGCCUGAUGCAGCCAUGCCGCGUGUAUGAAGAAGGCCUUCGGGUUGUAAAGUACUUUCAGCGGGGAGGAAGGGAGUAAAGUUAAUACCCUUGCUCAUUGACGUUACCCGCAGAAGAAGCACCGGCUAACUCCGUG
RNAcentral lists this ribosomal RNA (490 nucleotides) under uncultured bacterium. RNAcentral's name for it is "partial 16S ribosomal RNA". It matches the Rfam family "Bacterial small subunit ribosomal RNA", at positions 30 to 507 of the family's 1533-position model. The record is from RNAcentral.